GAUGAACGCUGGCGGCGUGCCUAAUACAUGCAAGUCGAGCGAACGGACGAGAAGCUUGCUUUUCUGAUGUUAGCGACGGACGGGUGAGUAGCACGUGGAUAACCUACCUAUAAGACUGGGAUAACUUCGGGAAACCGGAGCUAAUACCGGAUAAUAUUUUGAACCGCAUGGUUCAAAAGUGAAAGACGGUCUUGCUGUCACUUAUAGAUGGAUCCGCGCUGCAUUAGCUAGUUGGUAAGGUAACGGCUUACCAAGGCAACGAUGCAUAGCCGACCUGAGAGGGUGAUCGGCCACACUGGAACUGAGACACGGUCCAGACUCCUACGGGAGGCAGCAGUAGGGAAUCUUCCGCAAUGGGCGAAAGCCUGACGGAGCAACGCCGCGUGAGUGAUGAAGGUCUUCGGAUCGUAAAACUCUGUUAUUAGGGAAGAACAUAUGUGUAAGUAACUGUGCACAUCUUGACGGUACCUAAUCAGAAAGCCACGGCUAACUACGUG
Molecule: ribosomal RNA, 497 nt
Filed under: uncultured bacterium
Lineage: Bacteria
Description: partial 16S ribosomal RNA
Rfam family: Bacterial small subunit ribosomal RNA
Source: RNAcentral